UCAAAAACAUAGCUUAAAGAAUAUAUUUUAAGUAAAUUCUGCCCAGCGUAAAUUUAAUUAGCGGCCGCAGUACCUUGACUGUGCUAAGGUAGCAUAAUCAAUUGGCUUUUAAUUGAAGUCUGGAAUGAAAGGAAAAAUAAAGAAUUAACUGUCUCUUUUUAAUUUAUGUGAAUUUAUUUAUUAAGUGAAAAUACUUAAAUUUAGAAAAAAGACGAGAAGACCCUUAGAAUUUUUAUUAAUAUUAUUUUUUGUAUUUAUAUUUUUGUUGGGGCGACAAUGAAACAUAUUUAACUUUUAAGUUUUUCAAGACAUUAAUUUUUGUACGGUUAAAUUACCUUAGGGAUAACAGCAUAAUAAUUUAUAUAGCUUAUGACCUCGAUGUUGGACUAGGAACUAAAAGACUAACCGUCAAAAUAGAUUGUUCUGU
Molecule: ribosomal RNA, 427 nt
Filed under: Radix sp. Shishuwar Bagar NP
Lineage: Eukaryota; Metazoa; Mollusca; Gastropoda; Lymnaeidae
Description: partial 16S ribosomal RNA
Rfam family: Archaeal large subunit ribosomal RNA (bases 1-198)
Source: RNAcentral